Molecule: ribosomal RNA, 486 nt
Filed under: uncultured bacterium
Lineage: Bacteria
Description: bacterial SSU rRNA
Rfam family: Bacterial small subunit ribosomal RNA
Source: RNAcentral
GACGAACGCUGGCGGCGUGCCUAACACAUGCAAGUCGAACGGAGUUAACUUUUUAGAUCCCUUCGGGGUGACGAGAUAUUAACUUAGUGGCGGACGGGUGAGUAACGCGUGAGCAACCUGCCUUACAGAGGGGGACAACAGUUGGAAACGACUGCUAAUACCGCAUAACAUACCGAGUGGGCAUCCACAUGGUAUCAAAGGAGCAAUUCGCUGUAAGAUGGGCUCGCGUCCGAUUAGAUAGUUGGUGAGGUAACGGCUCACCAAGUCGACGAUCGGUAGCCGGACUGAGAGGUUGAACGGCCACAUUGGGACUGAGACACGGCCCAGACUCCUACGGAGGCAGCAGUGGGGGAUAUUGCACAAUGGAGGAAACUCUGAUGCAGCAACGCCGCGUGAGGGAAGAAGGUUUUCGGAUUGUAAACCUACUGUUUUUAGUCUAAGAACAAAUGACGGUAGCUAAAGAGGAAGCCACGGCUAACUACGUAG